UACGAAGGGUGCUAGCGUUGUUCGGAAUCACUGGGCGUAAAGCGCGCGCAUGCGGCCUUGCAAGUCAGGGGUGAAAUCCUUGGGCUCAACCCAAGAAUUGCCUUUGAAACUGCAUCGCUGGAGCGUCGGAGGGGAUAGCGGAAUUCCUAAUGUAGUGGUGAAAUACGUAGAUAUUAGGAGGAACACCGGUGGCGAAGGCGGCUAUCUGGACGACAACUGACGCUGAGGCGCGAAGGCGUGGGGAUCAAACAGG
RNAcentral lists this ribosomal RNA (253 nucleotides) under uncultured bacterium. RNAcentral's name for it is "partial 16S ribosomal RNA". It matches the Rfam family "Bacterial small subunit ribosomal RNA", at positions 524 to 776 of the family's 1533-position model. The record is from RNAcentral.